This 75-nucleotide transfer RNA is filed under the name Candidatus Magasanikbacteria bacterium CG11_big_fil_rev_8_21_14_0_20_43_7. Its description in RNAcentral is "tRNA-Arg". It matches the Rfam family "tRNA". Rfam says of the family: Transfer RNA (tRNA) molecules are approximately 80 nucleotides in length. Their secondary structure includes four short double-helical elements and three loops (D, anti-codon, and T loops). Further hydrogen bonds mediate the characteristic L-shaped molecular structure. tRNAs have two regions of fundamental functional importance: the anti-codon, which is responsible for specific mRNA codon recognition, and the 3' end, to which the tRNAs corresponding amino acid is attached (by aminoacyl-tRNA synthetases). tRNAs cope with the degeneracy of the genetic code in two manners: having more than one tRNA (with a specific anti-codon) for a particular amino acid; and 'wobble' base-pairing, i.e. permitting non-standard base-pairing at the 3rd anti-codon position. Lineage: Bacteria; Candidatus Magasanikiibacteriota. The record is from RNAcentral.
GGCCCUGUAGUUCAAUGGAUAGAAUAAGACACUCCUAACGUCUAGAUCCAGGUUCGAUUCCCGGUGGGGCCACAA